This 23-nucleotide non-coding RNA is filed under the name Arabidopsis thaliana (thale cress). The record is from RNAcentral. Lineage: Eukaryota; Viridiplantae; Streptophyta; Magnoliopsida; Brassicales; Brassicaceae.
AACAAUGGCGUUGCAAGCGAGUC